ACACAGGGACAUGGAGCUGGGACAGGGACCGAAUGUCACCCGGAGGUGUCACUCAGCGGUCACGGUGACAGAUGUGACGCUGGGACAGUGACACCAAUGUCACCUGGACGUCACCUAAGGACACGGAGAUGGCACAGGGACACCGAUGUCACCUGGAGGUGUCACACAGCUGGCACGGUGACAGAGAUGUGGCACAGGGACACGGAGCUGGGACAGUGACACGAGAUGUCACCUGGAUGUGGCACACAGAGCUGGCACAAGGACAUUGAUGUCACCUGAUGUCACCUGGAGCCGUCACCCGGAGCUGGCA
RNAcentral lists this long non-coding RNA (310 nucleotides) under Taeniopygia guttata (zebra finch). Its description in RNAcentral is "lncRNA (ENSTGUG00000019941.1)". Lineage: Eukaryota; Metazoa; Chordata; Aves; Passeriformes; Estrildidae. The record is from RNAcentral.